UGGCGAACGGGUGAGUAAUGCGUGACCAACCUGCCCCAUGCUCCAGAAUAGCUCUUGGAAACGGGUGGUAAUGCUGUAUUCUCCAACUUGACGCAUGUCUUGUUGGGAAAGUGUUUAGUGGCAUGGGAUGGGGUCGCGUCCUAUCAGCUUGUAGGCGGGGUAAUGGCCCACCUAGGCUUCGACGGGUAGCCGGCCUGAGAGGGCGGACGGCCACAUUGGGACUGAGAUACGGCCCAGACUCCUACGGGAGGCAGCAGGG
This 259-nucleotide ribosomal RNA is filed under the name uncultured Gardnerella sp. Its description in RNAcentral is "partial 16S ribosomal RNA". It matches the Rfam family "Bacterial small subunit ribosomal RNA", at positions 96 to 354 of the family's 1533-position model. The record is from RNAcentral. Lineage: Bacteria; Bacillati; Actinomycetota; Actinomycetes; Bifidobacteriales; Bifidobacteriaceae.